UGUGUACUCCCUCCGUUCGAAAAAGGUUGUCCCAAUCUUGUUCCUCAAAUGGAUGUAUCUAGCACUAACUUGAUGCUAGAUACAUCCAUUUGGGAGACAAAAUUUUUCGGACGGAGGUAGUAUGCA
Non-coding RNA from Triticum aestivum (bread wheat), 126 nucleotides. The record is from Rfam. Lineage: Eukaryota; Viridiplantae; Streptophyta; Magnoliopsida; Poales; Poaceae.